CACAUGAUAAGGCAGUAACAGCUGAUUAUCUCAGCCCUCACAGAGACCCUGUUAUCCGCCCCAUUUUUCAGAAGGGGAGACUGAGGCCUAGGGAAGCAAAACCUCUUGCUCAUAGUUUGUCAGCGGCAGAGGUCUGAUUGGAACAUGACUGAAACCCCAGCCCAGAUCCUCAGACAUGAGACGGUGCACUCAGCCUUAAUGGCUAGCAGGCAACAGCACUUCCACU
This 226-nucleotide long non-coding RNA is filed under the name Homo sapiens (human). Its description in RNAcentral is "non-protein coding lnc-IL4I1-5:1". The record is from RNAcentral. Lineage: Eukaryota; Metazoa; Chordata; Mammalia; Primates; Hominidae.